This 301-nucleotide ribosomal RNA is filed under the name uncultured bacterium. RNAcentral describes it as "partial 16S ribosomal RNA". It matches the Rfam family "Bacterial small subunit ribosomal RNA", at positions 509 to 808 of the family's 1533-position model. The record is from RNAcentral.
CAGUAGCACGGUAAAACGAAGGGGGCUAGCGUUGUUCGGAAUUACUGGGCGUAAAGCGCACGUAGGCGGAUUGUUAAGUUAGGGGUGAAAUCCCAGGGCUCAACCCUGGAACUGCCUUUAAUACUGGCAAUCUCGAGUCCGAGAGAGGUGAGUGGAAUUCCGAGUGUAGAGGUGAAAUUCGUAGAUAUUCGGAGGAACACCAGUGGCGAAGGCGGCUCACUGGCUCGGUACUGGCGCUGAGGUGCGAAAGCGUGGGGAGCAAACAGGAUUAGAUACCCGCGUAGUCCCUGUCUCUUAUACA